RNAcentral lists this ribosomal RNA (340 nucleotides) under uncultured bacterium. RNAcentral describes it as "bacterial SSU rRNA". It matches the Rfam family "Bacterial small subunit ribosomal RNA", at positions 28 to 369 of the family's 1533-position model. The record is from RNAcentral.
GACGAACGCUGGCGGCGUGCUUAACACAUGCAAGUCGAGCGGUAAGGCCCUUUCGGGGGUACACGAGCGGCGAACGGGUGAGUAACACGUGGGUGACCUGCCCUCAGCUCUGGGAUAAGCCUGGGAAACCGGGUCUAAUACUGGAUAUGACUCCAUGACGCAUGUUGUGGGGUGGAAAGCCUUGUGCGGCUGAGGAUGGGCCCGCGGCCUAUCAGCUUGUUGGUGGGGUGAUGGCCUACCAAGGCGACGACGGGUAGCUGGUCUGAGAGGACGAUCAGCCACACUGGCACUGCGACACGGGCCAGACUCCUACGGGAGGCAGCAGUGAGGAAUAUUGCGC